GGGGUGAUGGCUCAGUGGUAGAGCUCUUGCCUAACAUGAAUGGGGCACUGGGUUCAAUCUUCAGCACCACA
This 71-nucleotide transfer RNA is filed under the name Marmota monax (woodchuck). Its description in RNAcentral is "tRNA.Val". The record is from RNAcentral. Lineage: Eukaryota; Metazoa; Chordata; Mammalia; Rodentia; Sciuridae.